GAACUUUCCAGAGAUGGAUUGGUGCCUUCGGGAACUGUGAGACAGGUGCUGCAUGGCUGUCGUCAGCUCGUGUUGUGAAAUGUUGGGUUAAGUCCCGCAACGAGCGCAACCCUUAUCCUUUGUUGCCAGCGGUUAGGCCGGGAACUCAAAGGAGACUGCCAGUGAUAAACUGGAGGAAGGUGGGGAUGACGUCAAGUCAUCAUGGCCCUUACGACCAGGGCUACACACGUGCUACAAUGGCGCAUACAAAGAGAAGCGACCUCGCGAGAGCAAGCGGACCUCAUAAAGUGCGUCGUAGUCCGGAUUGGAGUCUGCAACUCGACUCCAUGAAGUCGGAAUCGCUAGUAAUCGUGGAUCAGAAUGCCACGGUGAAUACGUUCCCGGGCCUUGUACACACCGCCCGUCACACCAUGGGAGUGGGUUGCAAAAGAAGUAGGUAGCUUAACCUUCGGGAGGGCGCUUACCACUUUGUGAUUCAUGACUGGGGUGAAGUCGUAACAAGGUAACCGUAGGGGAACCUGCGGUUGGAUCACCUCCUUA
This 540-nucleotide ribosomal RNA is filed under the name Escherichia coli. Its description in RNAcentral is "bacterial SSU rRNA". It matches the Rfam family "Bacterial small subunit ribosomal RNA", at positions 993 to 1533 of the family's 1533-position model. RNAcentral also lists the same sequence under 4 other names. Lineage: Bacteria; Pseudomonadati; Pseudomonadota; Gammaproteobacteria; Enterobacterales; Enterobacteriaceae. The record is from RNAcentral.